UAAUUACUUCCUCUAUCCAACAAAAGAUGUCUCCAGUUUAUUAAAUUUUGGAUGUAUUUAGACAUGACUUAGUGUAUAGAUGCAUUCAAAUCUAGUCAAAGUUGAGACAUUUUUUGUUGGACGGAGGAAGUACUGA
Molecule: non-coding RNA, 136 nt
Organism: Brachypodium distachyon (stiff brome)
Lineage: Eukaryota; Viridiplantae; Streptophyta; Magnoliopsida; Poales; Poaceae
Source: Rfam